CCUUAUCUAACUGUUCCCACUAAACUUCCUCCCUAAGAGUUCCUGUACUUAAGGACUCUUUCAAUCCCAGAAAAGGAGAACGAACGUACAUUCUGCACUGUACACUAUAAUCAUCAAAUACUACAAACCAAAGUGAAGAAAAACACAGAGUUCAAAAAAAUCAGGAAAAGAGAGAAAAGAAAAGAUUUUAGAGUUUUUGCUUGAUGUUGCUGGGGACAAUUGUUUCUUGCUUUAUUUAUUAUCCAGUUCAGCAAUCACAGAUCCACGUUUGAGUGCGCCUCUCGAUAGUUGAUUCAUGUAGUACUUGGAGCCCAUUCGAGGUAGCGGUUGAUCUAUGCAUCUGGAGCUUACUUCUACCUUUCUUAUCUAGACUAUGUUUUAUUUGUAUUCAGAGACAGUGUUUUGUUCCUAUUUUUGGAUAUCUUGUAUAUUUUUGACCUCGAGUUAUACUAGUUAGUUCUUACACUGUGACAUCCAGUUUUGAGAUUAUUCUAGGGUGUCCUUGGUUUUA
Capsicum annuum is the source of this 511-nucleotide long non-coding RNA. RefSeq lists it as uncharacterized. The record is from RefSeq and is a predicted model, not a curated record. The transcript has 2 exons. NCBI's taxonomy places the organism in Eukaryota, Viridiplantae, Streptophyta, Magnoliopsida, Solanales, Solanaceae.